This 497-nucleotide ribosomal RNA is filed under the name uncultured bacterium. RNAcentral's name for it is "partial 16S ribosomal RNA". It matches the Rfam family "Bacterial small subunit ribosomal RNA", at positions 28 to 507 of the family's 1533-position model. The record is from RNAcentral.
GAUGAACGCUGGCGGCGUGCCUAAUACAUGCAAGUCGAGCGAACAGAUGAGGAGCUUGCUCCUCUGACGUUAGCGGCGGACGGGUGAGUAACACGUGGAUAACCUACCUAUAAGGCUGGGAUAACUUCGGGAAACCGGAGCUAAUACCGGAUAAUAUAUUGAACCGCAUGGUUCAAUAGUGAAAGACGGUUUUGCUGUCACUUAUAGAUGGAUCCGCGCCGCAUUAGCUAGUUGGUAAGGUAACGGCUUACCAAGGCAACGAUGCGUAGCCGACCUGAGAGGGUGAUCGGCCACACUAGAACUGAGACACGGUCCAGACUCCUACGGGAGGCAGCAGUAGGGAAUCUUCCGCAAUGGGCGAAAGCCUGACGGAGCAACGCCGCGUGAGUGAUGAAGGUCUUCGGAUCGUAAAACUCUGUUAUUAGGGAAGAACAAAUGUGUAAGUAACUAUGCACGUCUUGACGGUACCUAAUCAGAAAGCCACGGCUAACUACGUG